AACGAACGCUGGCGGCAGGCUUAACACAUGCAAGUCGAACGCCCCGCAAGGGGAGUGGCAGACGGGUGGGUAACGCGUGGGAACAUACCCUUUUCUACGGAAUAGCUCUGGGAAACUGGAAUUAAUACCGUAUACGCCCUACGGGGGAAAGAUUUAUCGGGGAAGGAUUGGCCCGCGUUGGAUUAGCUAGUUGGUGGGGUAAAGGCGUACGAAGGCGACGAUCCAUAGCUGGUCUGAGAGGAUGAUCAGCCACAUUGGGACUGAGACACGGCCCAAACUCCUACGGGAGGCAGCAGUGGGGAAUAUUGGACAAUGGGCGCAAGCCUGAUCCAGCCAUGCCGCGUGAGUGAUGAAGGCCUUAGGGUUGUAAAGCUCUUUCACCGAUGAAGAUAAUGACGGUAGUCGGAGAAGAAGCCCCGGCUAACUUCGUG
RNAcentral lists this ribosomal RNA (431 nucleotides) under uncultured bacterium. Its description in RNAcentral is "partial 16S ribosomal RNA". It matches the Rfam family "Bacterial small subunit ribosomal RNA", at positions 29 to 507 of the family's 1533-position model. The record is from RNAcentral.